Long non-coding RNA from Nicotiana tabacum (common tobacco), 613 nucleotides. RefSeq lists it as uncharacterized. The record is from RefSeq and is a predicted model, not a curated record. NCBI's taxonomy places the organism in Eukaryota, Viridiplantae, Streptophyta, Magnoliopsida, Solanales, Solanaceae.
UGUUGCUAAACAUAAAAUUUUCUCAACAACUCCUCUUAGUUGUGGCCUAAAAUUUAGUAAAUUACUUUUACUUUUCUGCCAAAACAGACGCGUCAAAAUAGGUUUUCCCUGUUCUAUUACUUUUUCCCCAAUUCUUAGCGUGCAAUUUUAGUUUCCACUCCAUCUAGAUUUUCUCUUUUCAUUAUUCCUAAACUAAGGUCUUGCAUCUGGCAUGUUCAAUUCUUCGAUCUUUUCCCCUGUGUUCUACCCAAAAUCUGUACCAAUGGACUCAAUUCUGUUUUUUUUUCUUUUUAUGAUAAAACUCAAAAUUUUUGGACUAGAAAAAAGAUGAGAAUUGGAGAAGAUAGGAUUUAUGAGAAGAGGAUUUUGAUACCUCAAACUGAAGUUUCUCUUGCUGCUAUUAGCGGCGUAUUUUCUACUUGAAGAAAGUAAAGCAGCUUUGAUUUUCAAUGUUUUUACUUUUCUGAAAAAGUUUGUAAAUCCUGUCCUUAGUAUUAUUUUGUUAGUUUUUGCUUUGUUUCUUUGUUUCUUUUAAGUUAUGGAAUUUGUAAGUUGAAGUUGCAAUAGAAUAAAAUUUUUAGACGUGAUUAAUUUCUUCUUUAAUGGUAUCCAA